CCUACGGGUGGCUGCAGUGAGGAAUAUUGGUCAAUGGGCGCGAGCCUGAACCAGCCAAGUCGCGUGAAGGAUGACUGCCCUACGGGUUGUAAACUUCUUUUAUAAAGGAGUAAAGUGAGGCACGUUUGCCUUUUUGUAUGUACUUUAUGAAUAAGGAUCGGCUAACUCCGUGCCAGCAGCCGCGGUAAUACGGAGGAGCCGAGCGUUAUCCGGAUUUAUUGGGUUUAAAGGGAGCGUAGAUGGGUUGUUAAGUCAGUUGUGAAAGUUUGCGGCUCAACCGUAAAAUUGCAAUUGAUACUGGCAGCCUUGAGUACAGGUGAGGUAGGCGGAAUGCGUGGUGUAGCGGUGAAAUGCUUAGAUAUCACGCAGAACCCCGAUUGCGAAGGCAGCUUACUAAACUGCCACUGACAUUGAUGCUCGAAAGUGUGGGUAUCAAACAGGAUUAGAUACCCUAGUAGUC
RNAcentral lists this ribosomal RNA (460 nucleotides) under uncultured bacterium. RNAcentral's name for it is "partial 16S ribosomal RNA". It matches the Rfam family "Bacterial small subunit ribosomal RNA", at positions 338 to 795 of the family's 1533-position model. The record is from RNAcentral.